Molecule: ribosomal RNA, 273 nt
Filed under: Triticum aestivum (bread wheat)
Lineage: Eukaryota; Viridiplantae; Streptophyta; Magnoliopsida; Poales; Poaceae
Description: partial small subunit ribosomal RNA
Source: RNAcentral
AUGGAGAUGGACUGCAAGGAGGUUGUGGACCUCUGGAACACUCGCCACCACUCCCGCUCGGUUGUGGCACCGAUUCUUUUGGAAAUUGGGGAUUUAUCUGCUAGUUUUAGUUCUUUUAUUAUCAACAUACUUAGACUGUCUAAUUUGCCUGCUCAUCUCUAUGCUAAGCGAGCAUGUUCGCUGCAAGUGACCGAGGCAUGGACCAAUGAUGUACCUCCCUUCCUGGUUAGUAGCCUCAUGGUGGACUGUGCCAGGUGUGCUUUUGUUGAAUAA